AUAGUGUUCGCUGCCCUCGCGGGUAGCAAGCCUCACCCGUGUAUAUUAUAUCUUUGUUGCUUUGGCACGCCGCCUUCGGGCACUGGCUUCGGCUGGCUCGUGUGUGUCAGAGGACCCAAAACUCUGAAUGUUAGUGUCGUCUGAGUACUAUCUAAUAGUUAAAACUUUCAACAACGGAUCUCUUGGUUCUGGCAUCGAUGAAGAACGCAGCGAAAUGCGAUAAGUAAUGUGAAUUGCAGAAUUCAGUGAAUCAUCGAAUCUUUGAACGCACAUUGCGCCCGGUGGUAUUCCGCCGGGCAUGCCUGUUCGAGCGUCAUUUAAACCAAUCUAGCCUCGUGCUUGGGUAUUGGGCCUUUCGCCUUUGGGCGGGCCUUAAAAUCAGUGGCGGUGCCCUCUGGCUCUGAGCGUAGUAAUACUCCUCGCUAUAGACGUCAGGCGGUGUCUUGCCAACAACCCCUAAUUUUUAAAGGUUGACCUCGGAUCAGGUAGGGAUACCCGCUGAACUUAA
RNAcentral lists this ribosomal RNA (508 nucleotides) under uncultured fungus. RNAcentral describes it as "eukaryotic LSU rRNA". The stretch from base 163 to 316 matches the Rfam family "5.8S ribosomal RNA". Lineage: Eukaryota; Fungi. The record is from RNAcentral.